CCUGGCUCAGAGUGAACGCUGGCGGCGUGCUUAACACAUGCAAGUCGAACGAGAAACGGUCUAGCUUGCUAGAUGCAGUCUAAGUGGCGCACGGGUGAGUAAUAUAUAGGUAAUAUGCCUCUUACUAAGGGAUAACAGAUGGAAACGUCUGCUAAUACCUUAUAUGCCUUUAGGACUAAAGUCCGCAAGGGAAAGAUUUAUCGGUAAGAGAUUAGCCUGUACAGUAUCAGUUAGUUGGUGAGGUAAUGGCUCACCAAGACUAUGACACUUAACUGGUUUGAGAGGAUGAUCAGUCACACUGGAACUGAGACACGGUCCAGACUCCUACGGGAGGCAGCAGUGGGGAAUAUUGCACAAUGGACGAAAGUCUGAUGCAGCAACGCCGCGUGGAGGAUGACACAUUUCGGUGCGUAAACUCCUUUUAUAUGAGAAGAUAAUGACGGUAUCAUAUGAAUAAGCACCGGCUAACUCCGUGCCAGCAGCCGCGGUAAU
This 492-nucleotide ribosomal RNA is filed under the name uncultured bacterium. Its description in RNAcentral is "bacterial SSU rRNA". It matches the Rfam family "Bacterial small subunit ribosomal RNA", at positions 18 to 524 of the family's 1533-position model. The record is from RNAcentral.